This is a non-coding RNA of Pteropus alecto (black flying fox), 119 nucleotides long. NCBI's taxonomy places the organism in Eukaryota, Metazoa, Chordata, Mammalia, Chiroptera, Pteropodidae. The record is from Rfam.
GUCUACGGCCACGCCACCCGGAGCAAGCCCGAUCCCGUCUGAUCUCAGAAGCUAAGCAGGGUCAGGCCUGGUUAGUACUUGGAUGGGAGACCACCUAGGAAGACCAGGUGCUGUAGGCG